RNAcentral lists this ribosomal RNA (492 nucleotides) under uncultured bacterium. RNAcentral describes it as "bacterial SSU rRNA". It matches the Rfam family "Bacterial small subunit ribosomal RNA", at positions 308 to 792 of the family's 1533-position model. The record is from RNAcentral.
CCACACUGGGACUGAGACACGGCCCAGACUCCUACGGGAGGCAGCAGUAGGGAAUCUUCCACAAUGGACGAAAGUCUGAUGGAGCAACGCCGCGUGAACGAUGAAGGCCUUCGGGUCGUAAAGUUCUGUUGUAAGGGAAGAACAAGUGCCGCAGGCAAUGGCGGCACCUUGACGGUACCUUGCGAGAAAGCCACGGCUAACUACGUGCCAGCAGCCGCGGUAAUACGUAGGUGGCAAGCGUUGUCCGGAAUUAUUGGGCGUAAAGCGCGCGCAGGCGGCCUCUUAAGUCUGAUGUGAAAGCCCCCGGCUCAACCGGGGAGGGCCAUUGGAAACUGGGAGGCUUGAGUAUAGGAGAGAAGAGUGGAAUUCCACGUGUAGCGGUGAAAUGCGUAGAGAUGUUGGAGGAACACCAGUGGCGAAGGCGACUCUUUGGCCUAUAACUGACGCUGAGGCGCGAAGCGUGGGGAGCAAACAGGAUUAUAUACCCUGGUA